This 465-nucleotide ribosomal RNA is filed under the name uncultured bacterium. Its description in RNAcentral is "partial 16S ribosomal RNA". It matches the Rfam family "Bacterial small subunit ribosomal RNA", at positions 28 to 507 of the family's 1533-position model. The record is from RNAcentral.
GACGAACGCUGGCGGCGUGCUUAACACAUGCAAGUCGAACGGAAAGGCCCCUUUGGGGGUACUCGAGUGGCGAACGGGUGAGUAACACGUGAGUAACCUGCCCUUGACUUCGGGAUAACUUCAGGAAACUGGGGCUAAUACCGGAUAGGAAUCCUUGCUGCAUGGUGGGGGUUGGAAAGCUUCGGCGGUUUUGGAUGGACUCGCGGCUUAUCAGCUUGUUGGUGGGGUAGUGGCUUACCAAGGCUUUGACGGGUAGCCGGCCUGGGAGGGCGACCGGCCACAUUGGGACUGGGAUACGGCCCAGACUCCUACGGGAGGCAGCAGUGGGGAAUAUUGCACAAUGGGCGGAAGCCUGAUGCAGCAACGCCGCGUGCGGGAGGACGGCCUUCGGGUUGGAAACCGCUUUCAGCAGGGGCGAAGCUUGUGGUGACGGUACCUGCAGAAGAAGCACCGGCUAACUACGUG